UUGGUACAGCUCCCUCCCCAAAAGCCCCCACCUCUCCCAACGCGAAAUUGGAACUGUUCCCAAGUCCCCGAGUAGGUACAGCCUCCUACGCUGGGUAAGGCGCGCCCCUUCGAUGGCUUAGCGCUCGCCCACCAGGCACGCUCUCACUUCACACCCCACGAGUUCUACCCCAAGCCCGUGUACACAUGCUAGGGCGCGCGUCCCUAGCCCUUCAGUGGUUCGGGCCUCGCACUUAGGUAGGCGCCCCCCCCCCCGCCGCUUCAAUGGUACGACCCGCCGCCCCCGCCUCUGGCCCCUCAGGGCUAGAACUACCGCCCCCGCGCAGCUGCCCCACUCGGUCCCGGAAGGGGGGGCUCUAGGACCAAGAUCCCCGCCCGGCAGGCACUGGUGCCCAUCCCCCUACCUCUAAGUCUUCUUGGGCCGCUCAAAUCCCAGCCCCUCCUAGGGCACAGGAUGGAUUAUCUCACUGAAACCUCCAGUGCACUUGUGUCUGAACUGUUGGAGUCCUAGUAGUCAAAGGCCACCAGGAAGGGCAUCAUCGUCAUUUUGUUGGAGCAUCAUCCUCAUACCCCAAGAUUGCCAGUUUGAUCUCUGGCCAGGGUACAUACAAGAGUCAACCAAGAGUGGGAGACAGGGGAGAGACACAAGAAAGAAAAACAUUGAUUGAUUGCCUCCCACAUGUGCCUGACUGGGCCCGAGGAGACUGAGCCUGCAACUGAGCAUUAUUCACAGUGGCCAAGACAUGGAAACAACCCUAGUGUCCUUCGAUAGAAGAUUGGAUAAAGAAGAUGUGGUACAUAUAUACAAUGGAGUACUACUCAGCCAUAAGAAAAGAUGAAAUAUUGCC
Myotis daubentonii (Daubenton's bat) is the source of this 847-nucleotide long non-coding RNA. RefSeq lists it as uncharacterized. The transcript is spliced from 5 exons. The record is from RefSeq and is a predicted model, not a curated record. NCBI's taxonomy places the organism in Eukaryota, Metazoa, Chordata, Mammalia, Chiroptera, Vespertilionidae.